UACGGAGGGUGCGAGCGUUGUCCGGAAUCACUGGGCGUAAAGGGCGCGUAGGUGGCCUGUGGAAGUCUGCGGUGAAAGCCCGGCGCUCAACGCCGGGUCGGCCGUGGAUACUCUCGGGCUCGAGCUUACUAGAGGCAGAUGGAAUUCCGGGUGUAGCGGUGGAAUGCGUAGAGAUCCGGAAGAACACCGGUGGCGAAGGCGGUCUGCUGGGGUAAUGCUGACACUGAUGAGCGAAAGUGUGGGGAGCGAACAGG
This 254-nucleotide ribosomal RNA is filed under the name uncultured bacterium. Its description in RNAcentral is "partial 16S ribosomal RNA". It matches the Rfam family "Bacterial small subunit ribosomal RNA", at positions 524 to 776 of the family's 1533-position model. The record is from RNAcentral.